AUUGAACGCUGGCGGCAGGCCUAACACAUGCAAGUCGAGCGGAUGAAGGGAGCUUGCUCCUGGAUUCAGCGGCGGACGGGUGAGUAAUGCCUAGGAAUCUGCCUGGUAGUGGGGGUAAAGGUCCGAAAAUGGGGGCAAUUACGCAAACAUCCCGGAGGAAAAAGGGGGGGAAGCUUGGGACCUACGGUUAUCGCUGGAGCUAGGGCGGAUUAGCUAGUUGGGGGGGUAAAGGCCUACCAAGGCGACGAUCCGUAACUGGUCUGAGAGGAUGAUCAGUCACACUGGAACUGAGACACGGUCCAGACUCCUACGGGAGGCAGCAGUGGGGAAUAUUGGACAAUGGGCGAAAGCCUGAUCCAGCCAUGCCGCGUGUGUGAAGAAGGUCUUCGGAUUGUAAAGCACUUUAAGUUGGGAGGAAGGGCAGUAAGUUAAUACCUUGCUGUUUUGACGUUACCAACAGAAUAAGCACCGGCUAACUUCGUG
This 483-nucleotide ribosomal RNA is filed under the name uncultured bacterium. RNAcentral's name for it is "partial 16S ribosomal RNA". It matches the Rfam family "Bacterial small subunit ribosomal RNA", at positions 30 to 507 of the family's 1533-position model. The record is from RNAcentral.